Molecule: long non-coding RNA, 600 nt
Organism: Harmonia axyridis
Lineage: Eukaryota; Metazoa; Arthropoda; Insecta; Coleoptera; Coccinellidae
Exons: 3
Source: RefSeq, a predicted model, not a curated record
UUAACGUCUCUCUUCAUUCUUAAGUCUUCAAGAAGUUCUUGAAGAUGCUGAUGAAGAAGAAAAAUAGACAUCAACGAGGACAUUGACAUAUUCUGGGGAAAACUCCAAAAAUAUACAAAUGAAAUGGGUGUAUUUGAAUUCCAGAAAUUGUCACAGUUCGUACUGAAUAUAUUAUCCCAUCCGCACUCAAAUGCUGAAUGCGAAAAAGAGUCUCCAGUAAAAUAAACUUGGUUAAAACAAAAUCAAGAAAUAAGUUAAUAACUAAUACAAUCAAUGGUUGUUUAUUAACGUCUCAGUGUGUGAAAAAAGAUGGUAACUGCGUAGAUUUUACACCAACUCAGAAUAUUAUCGAAGUUGAUGAAGAUGAAUUUGUCAUACACGGUUGAAAUAUAAAUUUUUGAAAAGAGGACACAUGAAUGCAAAUCAUAUUUAUGUUACGAUGGAAUCAGAAGGUUUUACAGAAGCAAGUAGCAGUUCGGCCACCCCCAAACGUAGUGGUAGUAAGCUGAGCCCCUUAACCAACCAGAGAAUUGAAAGAAUGAAGGCUAAAAUCAAUUCUUUGAAGUGCAAAAUAUUUAGGCGUAAAGUUCCCCACUGUUU